AGGAAGCACAAGUUAGGAUACAUUUAUUUCAGGCUUCACAGAAAACAGACAUGCAGCACAAUGGCAUGGUGACAAAAAUAACAAAUAAUGAUUUUUUAAAUAAUAUUUUUAAAAAGUGACUGCUGCAUUUUAAGAGCAUGGGCAAAUGGAUGAAAUAAUCUAAUCUGAAAUCAUAAGUAGCCCAACCCAUUACUUUACAAAUACGCAAGUUCAGGUUUGCCACUUUCAGACAAGUUAGACCAAGUCAGAAACCUCUGGCAAUUGUGUAAACCUUCUAGCAUCAAUAUUCUUAUGCAAUGGACGCCUGAGUUUCCUGAAAUUAGCGUUUUUAUAAAGCCUUGCAUACUGCACCGCCAUCGAUGGAUUGGAGGGGGGGGGGGGGGGGGUAUCCACCCAAAGACUGCGAGUAUGAUUGAACGGGAUUUUAUCCAAUGGUAUGCCUGUGGUCACGACACCUCGCCACGUGAAUGGGAGGACUGCUAUAACCGAGGAAGGUGGGAGGGGCCAUGACGAAAAUAAAAUUUCACAAAAAAGAUAAUAUUGUGUAUAUACUCAUACAGAAAAACAACUUUAACGCAUUUACUAAAGGUUUGCAUUAAGAUACUGCCUGACGGCAGUCAUCGGAAGGGACAUACUCGUGUCCAGUACUUGCUACGCGACACUUAAAGGUAGACUGCACACGGCCUUAGGACGCAUGAUAUAAUCUAAUUUCUUCAUUGCAAUACGGCAUACCACACUGUCACAUGAUACUGUUUAAAAAACAGAAAAAAAACCCGAUAUGCAGACAAGGAAGCUAGCAAAACGAUAAUGGAAAAUCAGCAUACUAUGAUAGCAGACCCGUUCUUCACUCCUACAUCUCCAGUGACGGCCGCAAAACAUUCAACAUUCCGCCAACCGCUUAGCUAUUUACCAUUAGCUCACGUGAACUACAAACGGGGUGCCACAAGCGGCGAGAAAAUAUUCAGUGGGAAACGCGCCCCCACUGGCCAGGAGGGAAACUAAGCAGAAGCAAAGCUCGACGUUCCGUCGUAACCACUUUCAAACGGCGGGAAAAGGUAUAAUUGUUUUUUUUUUCUUUUUUAAUUUUAACAAAAUGUGAUUUGUCCUAAACUUAGUGGAUUUAAAUAAGUCUAAUUCAGCUACAUACUUGAUAUUUGUCCCAACAUAUGAAUGUUUGCCAAAUGAGCUCUUAUUAUUAUGAGCUGAUAUUUAAAAUUUACUUCAGUGACAACUCUUUUCUAUUUUACUUUUUUACUUUACUGUUUUUAUCACAAUUUACACAGAACUGUACAAUUCUGACCUCUCAAAAAUCUGUUUUUGAUAGGCCCAUAAACUUCUACUUUGGGGGCAUUUGAUGCAGGUUAUAGAAUUGUUCAAAUAUUAAAAUGUGCCGCAGCUGUUUCAUUGUUAUUACAGUCUUAUAACAUUUACAUUCAACCAAACCCUAAGGUUCCCCUCAACUUUAGAGACAACUAAAACAUCAAAUGUAAGACUGUUUUUGUAAUCAUAUAAAACAGCUUGUUUAAAAUGUGUGUAUUUGUUACUUUCUUUGCAGUAUACAACAGGCAACAAUAGAAUAACAAAUAAAUUAACACAAAAUACAAAAUAAGUCAUUUACAGACACUUCUGUCAGCAGUCCUCUAAUCUACAACUGAGGUGGUUCAUUAACACGGGUUACAUUUCUGUAGUCAUAAAUGAUUUAACUGUUGUCCAAUACA
Oreochromis niloticus (Nile tilapia) is the source of this 1718-nucleotide long non-coding RNA. RefSeq lists it as uncharacterized. Lineage: Eukaryota; Metazoa; Chordata; Actinopteri; Cichliformes; Cichlidae. The transcript has 2 exons. The record is from RefSeq and is a predicted model, not a curated record.